AGAAGGCGUGAAGGGCCUGAGAUUGUAGUAGUGAAAAAAAGCAUUCUUUGGCGACCACGGCAUCGAGGAGGAGAAUGUCUUCUUCCUUUUUUUGCUUUGGCUAUUUGUUUAUUGAGUUGGUUGUGCUCCUGGGGGUGCUGGUGCAGAGCCCUUUGGCCGGGGGUAACGGGGUCUUUAGGGUGCGUCACAAGUUCCUGGGUCGCAGCCAUACCGUCGGCGAUCUUCGAGCUCACGACCGGCGUCGUCACAGCCGGAUCCUCGCCGCUGCCGAUCUCCCCAUUGGAGGCGUUGGUAUCCCCACCGACACCGGGUUGCUCUCUCUCUGUAUUUGAUUUCUAGCUGCUCUUUCUAGAACCGAAUUUGAUCCUUGUUUUUUAUUUUCUUCAAAAAAUUAUUUCCCCCCCUAUUUUUGUGCGUUUUGGUGGGGUUUAUAGACUCUAUUUUGCUGAAAUUGGAAUCGGGAACCCGUCGAAAAAUUACUACGUACAAGUCGACACAGGGAGCGAUAUCUUGUGGGUGAACUGCAUCUCUUGCACCAGGUGUCCUCUUAAGAGCGACCUCGGGCUUCAAUUGACGUUGUAUGAUCCAAGGGCCUCGGCAAGUGGGGAUUUGGUCUCAUGCGAUGAGAAGUUUUGUGUAUCCACUUAUGGAGACAUUCCAGGCUGCGUAGCAAACUUGCCGUGCCAGUACAGUGUGCUGUAUGGUGAUGGGAGUUCCACUACUGGCUAUUUUGUGACAGACACCAUCCAGUAUGACCAAGUCUCUGGCAACCACCAAACAAAACCGGUCAAUGCAAGUGUUACAUUUGGUUGUGGUGCUCAACAAUCUGGUGAUUUGGGUUCAUCGAAUGAAGCGCUUGAUGGGAUUCUUGGUUUUGGCCAGUCAAAUUCGUCCAUGCUUUCACAAUUAGCUUCUGCAGGAAAAGUGAGCAAGAUAUUUGCUCAUUGUUUAGAUACUACAAUUGGAGGAGGUAUUUUCACCAUAGGACAUGUAGUGCAGCCGAAAGUGAAAACAACUCCCUUGGUACCUGGCCAGAUGCAUUACAAUGUGAAUUUGAAAGCAAUUGAAGUUGGCGGAUCAUUUCUCCAGCUUCCUACUGAUAUAUUUGACACUGGAGACAAGAAAGGCACAGUAAUUGAUAGUGGUACCACACUAGCUUAUCUACCAGAAGUUGCCUACAAUGCACUGAUGAGUGCGAUACUUUCUAAUCAUCAAGGAUUGAGAAUCUUCACCAUUCAGGACUUUAUGUGUUUCCAAUAUUCUGCAAAGUAAACAAGCUAAAUGAAAGUGAAUUCUCGGAGAAAACUAUUCGAGUUGAUCUCAGUAUGCUUUGAAGCAUAAAACAUGACAAGUGCUAGCACAACAAAUGUGUGGAUGAUGGAUUUCCAGAAGUAGUUUUUCAUUUUGAGAAUUCCCUCUUGCUAAAUGUAUAUCCUCAUGAUUACCUUUUCCAAAAUACGAAAAAUGUUUACUGUUUUGGCUGGCAAAAUGGUGCAGUGCAAUCCAAAGAUGGGAAAGAUAUGUUUCUUUUAGGAGAUCUAGCACUUUCAAAUAAGUUAGUUCUUUAUGAUCUUGAGAACCAAGUCAUUGGAUGGACAGAAUACAACUGCUCCUCGAGUAUCAGGGUCCAGGAUGACAGGACGGGCGCAACUUACAUCGUCGAUGCUCAUAACAUUUCUCAAGGUAGAAGAUCGUCACACCCAAGAUCCAUUUUCUUGUUGCUGCUAAUGUUUGUGAGCCGUUUGAUUUGUUGAUAUGAGACGGGCUAGUAUAUUGAUUUACUUUAACGAGUUUGCCACAUUCAUAUUCUUUUCUAUAGAGGAAAAAGUGAAAAAACAAAAGACAAGAAAAUAUAUUCUUAUUUUAGUGAGUUUGUUUC
Molecule: RNA transcript, 1879 nt
Organism: Zingiber officinale
Lineage: Eukaryota; Viridiplantae; Streptophyta; Magnoliopsida; Zingiberales; Zingiberaceae
Gene name: aspartic proteinase 36-like
Exons: 11
Source: RefSeq, a predicted model, not a curated record